Molecule: ribosomal RNA, 493 nt
Filed under: uncultured bacterium
Lineage: Bacteria
Description: partial 16S ribosomal RNA
Rfam family: Bacterial small subunit ribosomal RNA
Source: RNAcentral
GACGAACGCUGGCGGCGUGCCUAAUACAUGCAAGUAGAACGCUGAAGGAGGAGCUUGCUUCUCUGGAUGAGUUGCGAACGGGUGAGUAACGCGUAGGUAACCUGCCUGGUAGCGGGGGAUAACUAUUGGAAACGAUAGCUAAUACCGCAUAAUAGUAGAUGUUGCAUGACAUUUGCUUAAAAGGUGCAAUUGCAUCACUACCAGAUGGACCUGCGUUGUAUUAGCUAGUUGGUGGGGUAACGGCUCACCAAGGCGACGAUACAUAGCCGACCUGAGAGGGUGAUCGGCCACACUGGGACUGAGACACGGCCCAGACUCCUACGGGAGGCAGCAGUAGGGAAUCUUCGGCAAUGACGGAAGUCUGACCGAGCAACGCCGCGUGAGUGAAGAAGGUUUUCGGAUCGUAAAGCUCUGUUGUAAGAGAAGAACGAGUGUGAGAGUGGAAAGUUCACACUGUGACGGUAUCUUACCAGAAAGGGACGGCUAACUACGU